RNAcentral lists this unclassified non-coding RNA (337 nucleotides) under soil metagenome. RNAcentral describes it as "partial contains 5.8S ribosomal RNA, internal transcribed spacer 2, and large subunit ribosomal RNA". The stretch from base 1 to 120 matches the Rfam family "5.8S ribosomal RNA", at positions 35 to 154 of the family's 154-position model. The record is from RNAcentral.
GAUGAAGAACGUAGCGAAAUGCGAUAAGUAGUGUGAAUUGCAGAAUUCAGUGAAUCAUCGAAUCUUUGAACGCACAUUGCGCCCCUUGGUAUUCCAUGGGGCAUGCCUGUUCGAGCGUCAUUUGUACCUUCAAGCUCUGCUUGGUGUUGGGUGUUUGUCUCGCCUCUGCGCGUAGACUCGCCUCAAAACAAUUGGCAGCCGGCGUAUUGAUUUCGGAGCGCAGUACAUCUCGCGCUUUGCACUCAUAACGACGACAUCCAAAAGUACAUUUUUACACUCUUGACCUCGGAUCAGGUAGGGAUACCCGCUGAACUUAAGCAUAUCAAUAAGCGGAGGA